RNAcentral lists this long non-coding RNA (567 nucleotides) under Mytilus galloprovincialis (Mediterranean mussel). Lineage: Eukaryota; Metazoa; Mollusca; Bivalvia; Mytilida; Mytilidae. The record is from RNAcentral.
GUGACAUUCCCGGCUUAGAGUUUAUAUCCCCUGAGCCGAAGGCGAAGGGUAUAUAAGCCCUAAGCCGGGAAUGUCACAGUAUAUACCCUUUCUGAGACCUGAAUUACACAUAUAUUACGGAUUACCCCCUACUUAAUGUUAUUUUUCAGUGUAGGUAUUUGUUGACAACACAUAUAUUGAAAAACCCAACCUGAUAUGUUCGGCAUACGUGAAGGAUUUUCUAAUUUGCUGUGAACAUAAUUUUAUCGUGUAUGUAAUAAUUUAUAAUAACAAUUUUAACAUUAAAUUUAAGUAUUAAAAGUGUAAAUUGCGUGAUUUUGUAUCAAAAAUGUAUUAUUGACUGAAGCACGUCAUUAUUUUCCCUCUGUGAGCCUCUGACAGUCUGAUAGCUUUUGACUACUUCAAAUAGUAACCGGUGUUAUGAUGACGUUUUUGAGGUUCCAAUUGGGGAUAAAAACGUCGUAUAUACCCCGGCAGUUUCCUGAAUAUAUACUGACAUCUCUGUGUUGUUAUCCAAUCACAAACCUCGACACAUUUGUAAUCCGUAAUAUAUAUAAAUAUAUCUUC